AUGUUUAGGAAAAUGUACCAAGGUGGCCCUUCAAGGAAGCAAGGACCCAGGCUUGCAAUGCGCGAUGCCGACGAUGAACCACCAAGGGACGCUCAAGUGCGGGCUUGUGAAUGGCCUUCAGAGGACUUCAUGGAUCGAGCGGGAAUCAAGGAAGAAUUUAACGCAUAUGUGCAUAACGCUGAUCUUGUGAGCUUCGAGGUAGAUAAGUGCCGUCAGUACCACUAUCUCACUAAUUCCUUUGUGAGGAGGUUUGAAUUUUCAUCAUCACGUGGUAAGGAUGAAACAUGUCACAUGUGUGUCCCUGACCUCAUUGUUCUUAGGAGUGCUGUAUUAUGA
Molecule: ribosomal RNA, 336 nt
Filed under: Triticum aestivum (bread wheat)
Lineage: Eukaryota; Viridiplantae; Streptophyta; Magnoliopsida; Poales; Poaceae
Description: partial small subunit ribosomal RNA
Source: RNAcentral